GCCUGGGUGGCUCAGUUGGUAGAGCAUGUGGCUCUUGAUCUCAGGGUUGUGGGUUCGAGCCCCAUGUUGGGUG
Molecule: transfer RNA, 73 nt
Filed under: Ailuropoda melanoleuca (giant panda)
Lineage: Eukaryota; Metazoa; Chordata; Mammalia; Carnivora; Ursidae
Rfam family: tRNA
About the family: Transfer RNA (tRNA) molecules are approximately 80 nucleotides in length. Their secondary structure includes four short double-helical elements and three loops (D, anti-codon, and T loops).
Source: Rfam by way of RNAcentral